GAAGGUGUCCGUCUGGUUGUGGGUGUCCUGAAGGUGUCCAUCUGGUUGUGGGUGUCCUGAAGGUGUCCGUCUGGUUGUGGGUGUCCUGAAGGUGUCCGUCUGGUUGUGGGUGUCCUGAAGGUGUCCGUCUGGUUGUGGGUGUCCUGAAGGUGUCCGUCUGGUUGUGGGUGUCCUGAAGGUGUCCGUCUGGUUGUGGGUGUCCUGAAGGUGUCCGUCUGGUUGUGGGUGUCCUGAAGGUGUCCGUCUGGUUGUGGGUGUCCUGAAGGUGUCCGUCUGGUUGUGGGUGUCCUGAAGGUGUCCGUCUGGUUGUGGGUGUCCUGAAGGUGUCCGUCUGGUUGUGGGUGUCCUCAAGGUGUCCGUCUGGUUGUGGGUGUCCUCAAGGUGUCCGUCUGGUUGUGGGUGUCCUCAAGGUGUCCGUCUGGUUGUGGGUGUCCUCAAGGUGUCCGUCUGGUUGUGGGUGUCCUCAAGGUGUCCGUCUGGUUGUGGGUGUCCUCAAGGUGUCCGUCUGGUUGUGGGUGUCCUCAAGGUGUCCGUCUGGUUGUUUGUGUC
This is a long non-coding RNA of Acanthochromis polyacanthus (spiny chromis), 549 nucleotides long. RefSeq lists it as uncharacterized. Lineage: Eukaryota; Metazoa; Chordata; Actinopteri; Pomacentridae. The transcript is spliced from 3 exons. The record is from RefSeq and is a predicted model, not a curated record.